This 5887-nucleotide long non-coding RNA is filed under the name Eutrema salsugineum. RNAcentral's name for it is "long non-coding RNA (ESAL_LNC001135)". The record is from RNAcentral. Lineage: Eukaryota; Viridiplantae; Streptophyta; Magnoliopsida; Brassicales; Brassicaceae.
GGAUCUACAGUUUUCCGGCGGGAAUCGUCGUCGACGUGAUUCUCCAGAACGCGAACGUAUUGAAAGGGAAAAUCAGCGAGAUACAUCCGUGGCAUCUUCACGGUCACGAUUUCUGGGUUUUGGGUUACGGCGAAGGGAAAUUCAGACCUGGAAUCGACGAGAAGACGUAUAAUCUGGAGAAUCCGCCGUUACGGAAUACGGUUGCUCUGUAUCCUUUUGGAUGGACGGCGUUAAGAUUCGUGACGGAUAAUCCUGGGGUUUGGUUUUUUCAUUGUCACAUUGAACCGCAUUUGCAUAUGGGUAUGGGUGCGGUUUUCGCUGAGGGAGUGGACCGGAUCCGUGAGAUGGAUAUACCGAACGAAGCGCUCGGUUGUGGGUUAACCAUGAAAUGGCUCAUGAACCGGGGUCGCCGUUAGUUUGUUGGAUGUAUUUGUGUAUGUAUGUGUUUUUUUUUUACCUCAUACGGUUGUUAAAUAAUUUUCUGGACAAACAUAACGUUUUAAUUCAGGCUUUUUAUCAACUCGAUUGGAAAACAUUAGUGAUUAUUUAACAAAGAAAUCACAAAGAGACCAUUUCGAAAGAUCAAAGAAAAAUGUAUUCUCUUAUCGACUUAGGAUCAUCUCUUAUUUCUGUAAUUGAUUUAAGAGCUCUUAAAACACUGAUUAAGAUAACUUAUUGGGGAUCUUAAAUUUUCAUACUUAUAAAUAAAAAGUAUAGAAAUCUGUUGUGUCUCAGGAAUGAGUUUUAAUUUGUCAACAACUUUACACAUACGACCUAUUGAAUUUAACACUCAUUUGAUGAUACACCCAAUUCGCUAAGUGAGAUCUUCACAAGUAUUAUAAAUUUGUAUGAACAUGCAAACUUCUGAACCGACUAAGAUUAGUAUAGGUCGCCAGAAGUAUUUAACACGGAAUAAAAAGAACUUUAAUGAGAAAGAUAAGAAUACAGAGUGUCUUAAAGAUAGUCUACUCCACGAAUCAUUGUGGUGUCCCAAUGAGACCAUCCAAAUUCGAGAUACAGGGUGGUAACCAUUGCUUCCCAGAUCACCAAGGAAAAAGGUACUCCAAAAGAAAAAAAGUAUAUUACUAUAAUUUAUUUGAUUAAUUUGUUAGUAGGUUUCGCCAGUUUUUUCGUCGAGCUUUCGUCAAUUUACCCUUUUUAUCAUCAUUUCCACAUUUCAAACACUUUAUAAGAGUUGAAUGUGAAUUGACAUAAUAACCACAUUAAUUUAUAAGUUUAAACCGUUAGACUACAUAUUUUUAUCGUUUAUGUUUUGUAGAUUUAAAUUCAAAACUAGUAAAAAAAAUUCAGAAAUUGAACUAUUUGUCAACAUUUGCGCUGAGAUGAGGUCGGGAAAAGCGGAAAAGGGAAAGGUUAAAGGAGAAAGACCAAUGUCAUUGUAAACAACUUAUAGACGUGAAGCGUGGGUGUAGAGUUCUAUAAUUUCUUUUAAUUUGACACGAUAAAAUAUGUUGGGUGUUGGCAAAUAUAUAAUAUGAUCGAUUCUAAUAUAUAAAAUAAUAUACACAAGAAAGAAGGAGAUUUAAUUUUGACAUCUACCUAAAAUAUAUGCCUUUUUGUGAUUAAUUAACUUUACUGGCAUUACAUGUUCAAAACCUACCAAUAGGUGAGCUUGAUAUAGUUGGCAUUAUAAAGAUUGUGAUCGUGAUCUAAUCUUCUAAGAAAAAUUCAACGGAUCACCGCUAAAAACAUGUAUCAUGAGAUCACCUACCCUUCCAAAUCUUCUUUAGAUAUUUCGAUUGUUUACACGAUCGUAAUUAUGUCCAUCAAUCUUGUGACCAAACUAAAAAACCCCUCCAAAAAAAAAAAAAAGAGAUAUCACUUUUGACCAAAAAACCCAAUCGAUGGUUUUGCCCAUUACCUCUGCCUCUCUCUCUUCCUCUAUAUAUACUUCUGCAAUGACCAAACAUCAUCAUAUAUACACAUGAGCCAAUAAUGGGUGUGUGGUGGAUAGUGGUGGUGGCUAUCUUGGCUCACACGGCGUCUGCCGCCGUGAGAGAGUAUGAUUGGGAGGUUGAGUACAAGUUCGGGUGGCCCGACUGCAAAGAAGGCAUGGUCAUGGCCAUUAACGGUCAGUUUCCUGGCCCCACCAUACGUGCCGUCGCCGGAGACACCAUCGUCGUCCACUUAACCAACAAACUCGCCACCGAAGGCCUUGUCAUCCAUUGGCAUGGAAUUCGUCAGGUUCUCUACCUUUUUUCUCUUUCUUCUAUUAACUAUGAAAUCUACACUAAGUAGAUUAAUCUCAAUAGAUGAUGUUCUUUACAUGUAUAAUUUAUAUUAAAAAAACAAAUCACCCAUUUUUUUCCUCGUAUAUGUCACUUUUUAAAGAAGAAACUGUUUUUAAACACUAGAGGAUUAAUGGAGACACUGAGUGAUCAUCACUCUGCUCACCAUAUUAACUCGUUAAUUCUGAUCUUAAUUAAGCAUCAAAUAAUUGUUUCGACAGUAUAUAGAUAAAUAUUAGUAAUUGGUUUGUCGUGAGAGGAUAAAGAAUAAAGAAAAUGGGUAAAGAUGCAGAAAUAAUGGUUUCGAAGCACAUGCCAUUCAUGACUGACUCUGUCUCUUCUGUAGAAAAAAAUCACUACAUUUACGACUCUUCCUUCGGAUGUUGGUUUCUUCCUAUGGACUCUAUUUAUUUUUAAAAAUUAUCAUAGAAAGUAAUAAUUAAGCUUAGUACAUAUUUCUAGGAGAUUCCGUUUAAAACAGGGAUUAAUUCUCACUUGUGACACUAUACUCUAUAUCUUGUGCUCUUUUACAUGCAACUCGCUAAAAUCCAUAUAAAAACAAUAAUGAAUUAAUCAAUUGCGUUUUUUGUUGUUGUUGUGAAUAGUUGGGAAGUCCAUGGGCUGAUGGAGCAGCGGGAAUAACACAAUGUGCAAUAAACCCUGGCGAGACUUUUACCUACAAAUUCAUUGUUGACAAGGUAAUUUUCUUAAGAUAAGAUAUUAAAAUGGGAAGAGAGAGCCAAAUGUAUAAUGUUAUUUGUGGAAAAUGAUACGGUGCAGCCGGGAACACACGUGUACCAUGGACACUACGGUAUGCAGAGAUCGGCGGGACUAUACGGAUCGUUGAUAAUCGACGUGGCGAAAGGAAAGAGAGAGCCAUUGAGAUACGAUGGAGAGUUUAAUCUUUUACUAAGCGAUUGGUGGCAUGAGAGUAUUCUCUCUCAAGAACUCGGUCUCUCUUCCCGACCUAUGCGCUGGAUCGGUGAAGCUCAGGUACGGUUUGUUUUUUUUAUUUAUUUCAAACAACUCUUACUUUUUCUGCUUUAAAAACAAAUAAAUAAGGUCCAUAUUCUCCCUUUUUUAAUAGUGGAGAUUGAUUUAGAUUAGAGCAUAGACACGAGCAAUAAUAUUGGCUUUCUUUAUUUCUUUUAUUCAAAGCAAAUUCUAAAGCUACUUUUCUAAUAUGAAUAAAUCAUUUUACGUAUCUUCUUCAAUGUGGUGUGAUUAGAUUGGCCACUGAGUUUUUUUAUUUAGUAUCAACCUUUUUUCAUAGUCAAAUGUGAAAUCAGACUUUUUUAUCUGUUCCUGAUUCGCUCUUUAAUAUAUUGUCUGAAAAAAAUUGAAGAGCAUAUUGAUAAAUGGGAGGGGACAAUUCAAUUGUUCAUUGGCGGCGCAAUAUAGCAACACAACGUUACCUAUGUGCAAGUUUAAAGAAGGUGAUCAGUGCGCACCAGAGAGACUACACGUCGAGCCUAACAAGACUUACCGAAUCAGACUCGCCAGCUCCACCGCUCUUGCCUCCCUCAACUUGGCUGUUCAGGUUCUAAUUAUUAAUGUUCUUUCUUCUUUUUUUUUUUUGCUUUUCAUAAUUCAUUAAAGAAAAAUCUUUAGAAAAACCAACGAUUUUUAAAAAUAUGAUUCAUAUGAUCGUAUGAUCGAUUUUAGCUAUGUAAAAAUAUGAGUCAUAUGAUCGAUUUAGCUAUGUAAAAAUAUGAGUCAUAUAGUCGAUUUUUUUUUUGUUUUUGGUUUUAAAAAUAUGACCGAUUUCUAACCAAAAUAAUACUAUAUAUUUUUAUAUACGUUGACAAGAAAAGAAAAUUAAAUGGUUUUCAGUAUGGGUCAUGGUCAUUUGGCAAUUCCAAACCCUAAACCCUUUUUCUGGCUGGAAGUCGUCAAUAAAUAUGACCAUUUAGUCACACACAAAAUAAGUAACAUAGUGUGGCGAUUUCUUCAUUUAGAGAAAGAUGACAAACUAGUAACCAUAAUAAUUAUAUAUAAAGGAAGCUAAAGAAAUUAAAAAGAGAAUGGCAGGCCAUCUUAAAUAAUGUUGAUAGUUUCAGAGUAUUUAUAUGAGUUGGUACUUUUGACUACAGAGUGAUGGUGUAGGUCCUUUAGAUUCUCUUUUCUAUUCCCUAGGCCCAUUGGGAAAAAUAAUACAAUUAUAUUAUUAUUACGGUGUAUGCAUGGUCUACAAACUUUUUUUUUUGGACACCCAAUAAAUAUCUACGUAUAUAUAAAUAUUAUAUUUAUAUAGAGAUGUGUGCAUUCUAAUCGUUCCGUAGAGAGAGGGAUUCUGGUUAGAGUGGUCUCGAUCAAUUUGGGUAUUGACCUUUGACACCCACCCAACUCAUGUUCCAUUCAAUUCUGCUAAUUACUCGAAAAAGCUGUCGUUCGUCUUAUCUCCUCGUCUACGGAUAUUUCAUUUUCAAAGUAAUUUUUCGAUUUUAUAGUUUUUCAAGACACAACUUAAUAGUAUCAACUAUCAACUUAAUAGUUUUUACAGUAACAAAACAAAAAAGGUAGAAGUUCGAAAGAAUAAUUUUCAUUUCUGUUUCCCAAAUUCCUUUAUAAUCUUUCGAAUUAAGCGUUUUGUAUCCCUUUUGAGUUUUGACUUUUACGAGAUCAAUUUUUUAAAAAAAUCUUAAAAAAAAAAAAAAUAGAGAUCUUCUUUAAGUUAUGGUAUAUGGGCCCAUUUACAAGGCCUACGUAUCGGUCCAAGAGUAUAUUGUUAUUCAAAAGAAAAAAAAAAACGUUGUCGAUCACACGUGUGUUGGUUUUUACACGUGCAGGGACACAAGCUAGUGGUGGUAGAGGCCGACGGAAACUACAUUACGCCGUUCGUCACCGACGAUAUCGAUAUAUAUUCCGGCGAGAGCUACUCUGUUCUCCUCACCACCGACCAAGACCCUUCCCAGAACUACUGGAUCUCCGUCGGCGUCCGCGGCCGGAAACCCAACACACCUCCGGCACUCACUGUUUUAAAUUACGUAACUGCCCCUUCCUCCAAACCCCCUUCCUCUCCGCCGCCGGUGACUCCGCAAUGGAACGAUUUCGAACGGAGCAAGAAUUUCUCGAAGAAGAUAUUCGCAGCGAUGGGAUCUCCGUCGCCGCCGAGGAAAUUCAAAAAACGAUUGAUCCUCCUCAACACUCAGAAUCUGAUCGAUGGAUCCACCAAGUGGGCUAUCAACAACGUCUCUCUUGCGGUUCCGGGAACGCCAUAUCUCGGAUCCGUCAAGUACAAAUUGAAACGCGGAUUCAACUGGAAAUCGCCGCCGACGACUUUCCCGAUGGAUUACGACAUCAUGAAUCCGCCGCGAUAUAAUAGCACAAAGCAAGGAAACGGGAUUUACGCUUUCCCGUUCAACGUAACCGUCGACGUGAUUCUUCAAAACGCCAACGGCUUAAACGCAAACGCCAGCGAGAUACAUCCGUGGCAUCUACACGGCCACGAUUUCUGGAUUUUGGGUUACGGCGAAGGGAAAUUCAGACCUGGAAUCGACGAGAAGACGUAUAAUCUGAAGAAUCCGCCGUUAAAGAAUACGGUGGCGUUAUACCCGUAUGGAUGGACGGCGUUAAGAUUCGUAACGGACAAUCCUGGGGUUUGGUUUUUUCACUGCCACAUCGAACCGCAUUUGCAU